GUUCAUUGAGAGUUGGAGCUCAAUUCGUGUACUAAUAUUUUGGAAUGGUUUCCUUAUAGUUCCAGCUGAAGGGAUUGCUCUCCUCAUUUAUGGCACCAAACCACCACAUAGCCCUUUGCUAGUUGGGUACUUCAGUGAGUUACGCAACUUGCUAAAGGUGUAUCAUGGUUAUGAUCAUAAGUUGUAGUUUAGCUUAUGCUGGGGAAGACAGUCCUACUGAUAAACUAUGUCCAAGGCCGUGGAGAUGUAUUCCUCCAUCUAGUUGACUUGAUUUAUAAUCAAUUAUGUUUUUGACUUGUUAUUUGCGGUUAGAAAGAUCUUCAGAUUCUCAUGUUACUACGAUUUUGAGGAUACACUCUUGUGAAGAACUUAAAGGGCCUGUUUCAAAGCUUUGGGUUUGACGCAUAUCCAGUAGUCAUUAGCCUUAUCAUCUUUCAGGUGUUGAUGGUAAGAAAGGUGGUGGUGGGCAUCAAGCGAACCUUACCCCUUGGAAGGAAAGACCCUGCAAGUGGAGGCAUCAGGUCAAAAAAAACUCCAAAAUCUACACUUCAGUGGUGAUUAUUUUGCAGAGUAAGGCUAACCCCUAUGGGCUAGAUUGAACUGCUAGAUUGGCCAAAAAGUGUUGCAAAUCAAGAAAAAAAUGUGGGGAAAAAGUUAAUACUACUUCUGGAUACUUCUCUCUCCUAGCAACUGCUCGCAGUCCAAGUAGCAGCGAGAUUGAAACGCGCUCUAAAAAUAAUUUUAUGCUGAACCGUUCAGCGCUCAUAUUUUUUGUUAUAGUAUCAUAUUCCGAUGGUGUACAAUACUAGCUGAUUCAUUUUCUCACUCUAGGUCAUGUCCUAUUCGUACACUAAAAAAUUUUGAUACAUUUUCCCACUCUCUGUCCACCUAAGCUUCAAUUCUUAUAGUCCUCCC
Long non-coding RNA from Papaver somniferum (opium poppy), 915 nucleotides. RefSeq lists it as uncharacterized. The transcript has 5 exons. The record is from RefSeq and is a predicted model, not a curated record. NCBI's taxonomy places the organism in Eukaryota, Viridiplantae, Streptophyta, Magnoliopsida, Ranunculales, Papaveraceae.